RNAcentral lists this long non-coding RNA (617 nucleotides) under Hordeum vulgare. RNAcentral describes it as "long non-coding RNA (HVUL_LNC002415)". Lineage: Eukaryota; Viridiplantae; Streptophyta; Magnoliopsida; Poales; Poaceae. The record is from RNAcentral.
CUGGCGUGGCGGCUGAACGGCGUCCCGCCGGCGCCGGCGUUCUCGGCGUGGCCCGACAGGCAGCACGGCGUGUACCAGUACAACUAGCUUAGUAGCAGUGCGUGGUGUAGGUACGUGUUAGGACAUGGGACGCGGUUGGUGGGCGCUGCAACGUUUUUUUGGGGAUUUUGUUGGGGACGUACGGUUGCACGCGGCCGGUGGGAUAUGCAUGUGCAUGAGUAGUGGUAGUACUGGUACUGUAUUUUGUCUGGCAUUAUCGUCGAACAAGCCUAGUGUACUAAAUAUAUCAAGUACAUGUCGUUUGUAUUCUCAAGUUUCGAUGCUCUUGGGUUCGAAUUGAGGCGCAAAAUCGGUCUGAAUUUCGUCUCGCGAGCAGCCGGGAUAUGAAACUGGUGUUUAACGACCAACUGUCAACUUUUAACUAUUUCUAACUUUCGUUUUUUUUGUUGGGAACUUUGGAUGUUAUCAAACUUGAAAAUUUGCUACUCCUCCGUUCAGUAAUAAGUGUACUUUUUUCUUUUCUGUCAGUCAAACUAGUUGGACUUUGAUUAAUUUUAUUAAGAAAAGUGCUAGCAUUUAUGACAUCAAAUUAGGCUGCUUAUAGUGGAGAGUAACAU